Molecule: ribosomal RNA, 497 nt
Filed under: uncultured bacterium
Lineage: Bacteria
Description: partial 16S ribosomal RNA
Rfam family: Bacterial small subunit ribosomal RNA
Source: RNAcentral
GAUGAACGCUGGCGGCGUGCCUAAUACAUGCAAGUCGAGCGAACAGACGAGGAGCUUGCUCCUCUGACGUUAGCGGCGGACGGGUGAGUAACACGUGGAUAACCUACCUAUAAUACUGGGAUAACUUCGGGAAACCGGAGCUAAUACCGGAUAAUAUAUUGAACCGCAUGGUUCAAUAGUGAAAGACGGUUUUGCUGUCACUUAUAGAUGGAUCCGCGCCGCAUUAGCUAGUUGGUAAGGUAACGGCUUACCAAGGCGACGGUGCGUAGCCGACCUGAGAGGGGGAUCGGCCACAUUGGAAGUGAGACACGGUCCAGACUCCUACGGGAGGCAGCAGUAGGGAAUCGUCCGCAAUGGGCGAAAGCCUGACGGAGCAACGCCGCGUGAGUGAUGAAGGUCUUCGGAUCGUAAAACUCUGUUAUGAGGGAAGAACAAAUGUGUAAGUAACUAUGCACGUCUUGACGGUACCUAAUCAGAAAGCCACGGCUAACUACGUG